ACAGGCAAAUCUGGAGAGCGCCGCAUAAUGCGGCCACCGAAGGGGCAGGCAACGUGAGUUGUAAUCUCUCAGGUACCAAGGACAGAUGGGGCGCA
This is a non-coding RNA of Gallionellales bacterium RBG_16_57_15, 95 nucleotides long. The record is from Rfam. Lineage: Bacteria; Pseudomonadati; Pseudomonadota; Betaproteobacteria; Nitrosomonadales.